UACAGAGGGUGCAAGCGUUAAUCGGAGUUACUGGGCGUAAAGGGCGCGUAGGCGGAUAUUUAAGUUGGAUGUGAAAUCCCUGGGCUUAACCUAGGAAUGGCAUACAAGACUGGAUAUCUGGAGUACUGUAGAGGGCAGUGGAAUUUCCGGUGUAGCGGUGAAAUGCGUAGAGAUCGGAAGGAACACCAGUGGCGAAGGCGACUGCCUGGACAGAUACUGACGCUGAGGCGCGAGAGCGUGGGGAGCAAACAGG
This 253-nucleotide ribosomal RNA is filed under the name uncultured bacterium. RNAcentral's name for it is "partial 16S ribosomal RNA". It matches the Rfam family "Bacterial small subunit ribosomal RNA", at positions 524 to 776 of the family's 1533-position model. The record is from RNAcentral.